UGUUGCACAUCUGGAGAGUUUGGCCUUGUUGGAGAUGAAGAAGAGGGCAAAGUUUAAAUUUGACUGACAUAUUGACUUCUCUGUUAUUUAUCUAACAGCUUCUCAGGUAAUCAUGGAAUUUGAACCAACAGUCGUGUCACUUUUCAUUUUUGCAGCCAAAUGCAUAUUACAGCGGAUGUGGAGGAGGAAUGAAAGUGAAACUGUCACUACGCCACGUCCGCGCCGAAGACCUGCUCUCCCGCUUCAAAUGUCGCAGUUGAAUUCAUAUUUACCACAGACUGAUUUUCUUGGGCUUUGGACUGUUGGUCGAAGAAAAAGAGACAUAUGAAGAUUUCACCUUUAACAGAGUGAUCGUGCCAAAGACUGUCCCCCAGCCUUCAGCAUGAAACACAAAAAGAAACAAAAAAGGAGAUAAACAGCAAGUGGCGUUAAUUCUCCAUUAAACCGUUGCAGAAGAAGAGGACACAACAAGAUGAUGUCAUUAAAAGAGCGGCAGUCAAAGCUGAAACCAUGCACAACCAUGUGGAAAACGUGAUGGAAAUAUGACAUUUCUGUUAGUUUCAUGUAUCGAUGUGAGGAAGGUAACAGUCUCCUCA
This is a long non-coding RNA of Thunnus maccoyii (southern bluefin tuna), 596 nucleotides long. RefSeq lists it as uncharacterized. The record is from RefSeq and is a predicted model, not a curated record. The transcript is spliced from 4 exons. Lineage: Eukaryota; Metazoa; Chordata; Actinopteri; Scombriformes; Scombridae.